ACGGAGGAUCCAAGCGUUAUCCGGAAUCAUUGGGUUUAAAGGGUCCGUAGGCGGGCAGUUAAGUCAGUGGUGAAAGUCUUCCGCUCAACGGGAGAACUGCCAUUGAUACUGAUUGUCUUGAGUUAUUAUGAAGUGGUUAGAAUGAGUAGUGUAGCGGUGAAAUGCAUAGAUAUUACUCAGAAUACCGAUUGCGAAGGCAGAUCACUAAUAAUAUACUGACGCUGAUGGACGAAAGCGUAGGUAGCGAACAGG
RNAcentral lists this ribosomal RNA (252 nucleotides) under uncultured bacterium. RNAcentral describes it as "partial 16S ribosomal RNA". It matches the Rfam family "Bacterial small subunit ribosomal RNA", at positions 525 to 776 of the family's 1533-position model. The record is from RNAcentral.